RNAcentral lists this small RNA (411 nucleotides) under Pan troglodytes (chimpanzee). Its description in RNAcentral is "processed transcript". Lineage: Eukaryota; Metazoa; Chordata; Mammalia; Primates; Hominidae. The record is from RNAcentral.
GGUGGCCCUGGUGUGGGGGCAGCCUCCCCCUUCCCUUUGAGCAGUGGCCUUCCCUCUGCAGCCAUCCAGUCUCUGCUGCCUUGAUCUUGUCCCAGCUGGCGAUGGAUGGUGCCCACUUGAGACCCAGCCACUGAGCACCAAGGUUGGGGGCGGCUCAGCCUUGGCCCCCCACCACGCUCUGCAGAAACAGGCCUUGGAACUGGUUUCUGAAAAGUCACUUCUGGUCCAGAACCUUCUCCUCUAACUGGGCGCCUUCUUUUUCAACACGUCCAUCUGUCUACAAAUUAGUCUGAAAGAAAACAGACACUGGAGAAAGACUGAGGAGGAGAGGAAACCAAGUCUAGAAAGGAAGAAAGAGCAGACCAAAAGGCCGGGGCUGUCGUCUCACCGGAAACGGAGCCAGCCCAAGAA